RNAcentral lists this long non-coding RNA (202 nucleotides) under Sinocyclocheilus anshuiensis. RNAcentral describes it as "lncRNA (ENSSANG00000029763.1)". The record is from RNAcentral. Lineage: Eukaryota; Metazoa; Chordata; Actinopteri; Cypriniformes; Cyprinidae.
GAUCAGCCUUUUCUGGAGCACCAAAAGAAGAGAUGGAAUAAUUUCAUGGGAUGAAGAAGAAUACAUCUCCACUGCAUCCUGUACCAUCACAAUCUAGAACUUGCUCUGAUAGACUUCCCAUCGAUCCUACAAUGGCUAGCCAAGGUACUAAAAGAAAGCGAGAUUAUGAACCAUCUGACUCGAGUAUAGAGACAACACUGAC